Molecule: ribosomal RNA, 1555 nt
Filed under: Escherichia coli
Lineage: Bacteria; Pseudomonadati; Pseudomonadota; Gammaproteobacteria; Enterobacterales; Enterobacteriaceae
Description: bacterial SSU rRNA
Rfam family: Bacterial small subunit ribosomal RNA
Source: RNAcentral
AAAUUGAAGAGUUUGAUCAUGGCUCAGAUUGAACGCUGGCGGCAGGCCUAACACAUGCAAGUCGAACGGUAACAGGAAACAGCUUGCUGUUUCGCUGACGAGUGGCGGACGGGUGAGUAAUGUCUGGGAAACUGCCUGAUGGAGGGGGAUAACUACUGGAAACGGUAGCUAAUACCGCAUAACGUCGCAAGACCAAAGAGGGGGACCUUCGGGCCUCUUGCCAUCGGAUGUGCCCAGAUGGGAUUAGCUAGUAGGUGGGGUAACGGCUCACCUAGGCGACGAUCCCUAGCUGGUCUGAGAGGAUGACCAGCCACACUGGAACUGAGACACGGUCCAGACUCCUACGGGAGGCAGCAGUGGGGAAUAUUGCACAAUGGGCGCAAGCCUGAUGCAGCCAUGCCGCGUGUAUGAAGAAGGCCUUCGGGUUGUAAAGUACUUUCAGCGGGGAGGAAGGGAGUAAAGUUAAUACCUUUGCUCAUUGACGUUACCCGCAGAAGAAGCACCGGCUAACUCCGUGCCAGCAGCCGCGGUAAUACGGAGGGUGCAAGCGUUAAUCGGAAUUACUGGGCGUAAAGCGCACGCAGGCGGUUUGUUAAGUCAGAUGUGAAAUCCCCGGGCUCAACCUCGGGAACUGCAUCUGAUACUGGCAAGCUUGAGUCUCGUAGAGGGGGGUAGAAUUCCAGGUGUAGCGGUGAAAUGCGUAGAGAUCUGGAGGAAUACCGGUGGCGAAGGCGGCCCCCUGGACGAAGACUGACGCUCAGGUGCGAAAGCGUGGGGAGCAAACAGGAUUAGAUACCCUGGUAGUCCACGCCGUAAACGAUGUCGACUUGGAGGUUGUGCCCUUGAGGCGUGGCUUCCGGAGCUAACGCGUUAAGUCGACCGCCUGGGGAGUACGGCCGCAAGGUUAAAACUCAAAUGAAUUGACGGGGGCCCGCACAAGCGGUGGAGCAUGUGGUUUAAUUCGAUGCAACGCGAAGAACCUUACCUGGUCUUGACAUCCACAGAACUUUCCAGAGAUGGAUUGGUGCCUUCGGGAACUGUGAGACAGGUGCUGCAUGGCUGUCGUCAGCUCGUGUUGUGAAAUGUUGGGUUAAGUCCCGCAACGAGCGCAACCCUUAUCCUUUGUUGCCAGCGGUCCGGCCGGGAACUCAAAGGAGACUGCCAGUGAUAAACUGGAGGAAGGUGGGGAUGACGUCAAGUCAUCAUGGCCCUUACGACCAGGGCUACACACGUGCUACAAUGGCGCAUACAAAGAGAAGCGACCUCGCGAGAGCAAGCGGACCUCAUAAAGUGCGUCGUAGUCCGGAUUGGAGUCUGCAACUCGACUCCAUGAAGUCGGAAUCGCUAGUAAUCGUGGAUCAGAAUGCCACGGUGAAUACGUUCCCGGGCCUUGUACACACCGCCCGUCACACCAUGGGAGUGGGUUGCAAAAGAAGUAGGUAGCUUAACCUUCGGGAGGGCGCUUACCACUUUGUGAUUCAUGACUGGGGUGAAGUCGUAACAAGGUAACCGUAGGGGAACCUGCGGUUGGAUCACCUCCUUACCUUAAAGAAGC